CCUACGGGAGGCUGCAGUGAGGAAUAUUGGUCAAUGGCCGUAAGGCUGAACCAGCCACGUCGCGUGAAGGAAGAAGGAUCUAUGGUUUGUAAACUUCUUUUAUAGGGGAAUAAAGGUAUCCACGUGUGGAUAUUUGCAUGUACCCUAUGAAUAAGCAUCGGCUAACUCCGUGCCAGCAGCCGCGGUAAUACGGAGGAUGCGAGCGUUAUCCGGAUUUAUUGGGUUUAAAGGGUGCGUAGGUUGUUUUUUAAGUCAGCGGUGAAAGUUUGUGGCUCAACCAUAAAAUUGCCGUUGAUACUGGAAGACUUGAGUGUAGUUGAGGUAGGCGGAAUGCGUGGUGUAGCGGUGAAAUGCAUAGAUAUCACGCAGAACACCGAUUGCGAAGGCAGCUUACUAAGCUAUAACUGACACUGAGGCACGAAAGCGUGGGGAGCAAACAGGAUUAGAUACCCGAGUAGUC
Molecule: ribosomal RNA, 460 nt
Filed under: uncultured bacterium
Lineage: Bacteria
Description: partial 16S ribosomal RNA
Rfam family: Bacterial small subunit ribosomal RNA
Source: RNAcentral